This 478-nucleotide ribosomal RNA is filed under the name Streptococcus mutans. RNAcentral describes it as "bacterial SSU rRNA". It matches the Rfam family "Bacterial small subunit ribosomal RNA", at positions 28 to 480 of the family's 1533-position model. Lineage: Bacteria; Bacillati; Bacillota; Bacilli; Lactobacillales; Streptococcaceae. The record is from RNAcentral.
GACGAACGCUGGCGGCGUGCCUAAUACAUGCAAGUGGGACGCAAGGGAACACACUGUGCUUGCACACCGUGUUUUCUUGAGCCGCGAACGGGUGAGUAACGCGUAGGUAACCUGCCUAUUAGCGGGGGAUAACUAUUGGAAACGAUAGCUAAUACCGCAUAAUAUUAAUUAUUGCAUGAUAAUUGAUUGAAAGAUGCAAGCGCAUCACUAGUAGAUGGACCUGCGUUGUAUUAGCUAGUUGGUAAGGUAAGAGCUUACCAAGGCGACGAUACAUAGCCGACCUGAGAGGGUGAUCGGCCACACUGGGACUGAGACACGGCCCAGACUCCUACGGGAGGCAGCAGUAGGGAAUCUUCGGCAAUGGACGAAAGUCUGACCGAGCAACGCCGCGUGAGUGAAGAAGGUUUUCGGAUCGUAAAGCUCUGUUGUAAGUCAAGAACGUGUGUGAGAGUGGGAAGUUCACACAGUGACGGUAGCU